Molecule: long non-coding RNA, 4017 nt
Filed under: Nicotiana tabacum (common tobacco)
Lineage: Eukaryota; Viridiplantae; Streptophyta; Magnoliopsida; Solanales; Solanaceae
Description: long non-coding RNA (NTAB_LNC009970)
Source: RNAcentral
UUAAUAUAGUAUCAUGAAGGCAUAAAUAAUAAACAUCACAAUUGUUCAAAAGGUCUUCAUCGUUCACUUCAGAUUGAAUUGUGGUCACCAUUUCAGUUGCAUUACCCGCAUUUUCCUACACAGUCAAAAUGAAAUUAAGAAUUAAAAAGAAUAUAAGUAUACAAUAUCAUAUUGGAAUCUGUAAUAUGGUUAAUAUUUAAUGUACUAUGUUGAAUCAACAAUAUGGCUCCUAUGUGAAAAUUCAGAUGAUUAAUCUUGGUUAGAGUAGACCUUUCAUAUAGUAUCAUGAAGGCAUAAAUAAUAAACAUCACAAUUGUUCAAAAAGUCUUCAUCAUUCACUUCAGAUUAAAUUGUAGUCUCCAUUUCAGUUGCAUUACCCGUAUUUUCCUACACAGUCAAAAUAAAAUUAAGAAUUAAAAAGAAUAUAAGUAUACAAUAUCAUAUUGGAAUCUAUAAUAUGGUUAAUAUUUAAUGUACUAUGUUGAAUCAACAAUAUGGCUCCUAUCUGAAAAUUCAGAUGAUUAAUCUUGGUUAGAGUAGACCUUUUAUGCAAUAUGGUAUAAAGUUGCUUGUUAAUUCGAAGUUACAACUUACAUACAAGUUUGCAUAAUAAUACAGUAUUGAAUAUGAUGAACUCAUUUAAACAAAUUUCUGAAAAUAGGGAUGAAUACAGUAAAUAACUCAAGUAACAACUCAAGCACAGAAAGAAGUAUAAAAAUGAAAAUAGUAAGAAAAGUUCACAACUGAUAUACAAGUUCUUAAAACAAUGUUAAAAAUGAUAACACAUUUAAACACACAUUUCCGAAAAUAGGUAUGAUAACGGUAACUGGCUCAAUUGGAGCAGGUACUAGCUUUGACAUAAAAAUACUAACACAAGCAGAACUUUGGAAAAAAAAAAAAGGCCAGACAACAAUACAUCAAGAACCACUAUGCAAAUCUCAUGACAUAUGCCAACAAAGACUUAACAUUUGCAAGGGAAGUGUAACUGGAAUUAUAAUGCCCAAAGGCAUAAAAUAAUUAAAAUUAUUCUGCAUUCACAUCACAUACAUUUUACAUUCUAGAGCAAAGUAAAAGUGAAACACUAAUAAAGCAGUGAAGUAGUCAGAUUUCUUUCCAAUCCCAAAGAUAAGUACAGAAAAUAUCCCGCUAAGGAUGUAAAUGCCAAAAUGAAAGUAUCAUUGCAUAGUGUAUUUGAGUUGGAUAAAGUCUUCCAUACUUGUUGAGUUCAAAAAUAUUUGCAUAGAGUUUGUGAGUUGGAUAAUAAGUUUCACAAUGAAACACUAACCUCUUUUUUUUUAUAAUCAUGGUAUCCGGGCCAGCUUGCACGCACCUCGAUUAAUUUCACGGGAUAGUGUCACCUCCCACCAACAACAAGUAUUAGAUAACUCUAUCCACCAAGGCUUGGAAUGAUGGGAAAAAAUCACCUAGUGUUUUUGUUUUCAUCGGAAUUUUAACCUGAAACAUCAUGGUUUUCACUCACUUCAUUGACUGCUAUAUCACACCCCUGAUUGCUUGAAAUACUAACCUCUCUUCCUUGUUCAGAUAGUGUUAAAAUUCUCUAGUGCCUAAUCACAAGAAAAAGUCUUCUUCAAGAAUAGGAAAAAGUUAAAACAAAAAGGGAAAGUAGCACAUUGGAUGAUCAAGCAUCCGAGCAAAUGAAAUUAGGGUCGGCAAAAAAAAGAAUAGGACAAAUUAUAUUCCUACAUGUUCUAUUAGUAACAUUCCCUUGAGAUCUUACUGCGGAUUUUGCUUGUGGUUAAUCUUUCCCAAUUAAGAAUCAUACAAGAAUUUCUGAAAAUUUUGCAUACUGAGCUUUUUGUAUAGGUGUCCCCUGGAUAAUAAUGUAUGAAGAAAGGAGGGGAAAAGGCAAAACAACUUAAGAUCCUAGUCCUCUUAGAAAGGGAAUGGAUCAUUUUCCCGAUUAUUCAGAUCUUCACGGGUUUGAGACAAUCCUCUAUUCAAGUACUCUUUCUUCUACUCGAGCCUCGGCAUAGCCUAAACAUAUCUGUCAAAUGAAGAAUAUAUACUUGUGAAGUUAACACUAAGCAACCAUUGUGAAAAUAUCCAUAGUUUCAAACCCAAAUAGUAAUAUAACUCUAUGCUACCUUAGCAUAUUUGCUCCCUUGAUACUCAGAGAAUAAAUUCAGAACAAUCAAAAUUUACCUUUUCACAAAUCAAACCAUAAGUUGACCAUAGAAAUGUUGAAGAUGUCGGCUUCUCAUAUCCCGUGCACUACUCGCAUCAAUCAGAGAAGGUAAGUUAGAUUCGACAUACCCUCCUAUAUCUGAAUGUACAGACCAAAGUUGGUUGCACCAAUACAUUAAACAAGAUGUCGCAAUUGUUCUCGUUCCUGCACUUCUUCCUUCAUGUCUUGCAUUUCAUCAUUCACAGAAAAUAACUGAAUCUAAGCAAGAGUUCAUUUCAAAACAACAAGUGUAUCAAAUAUGAAUUUUCAAAAAAUGUUUAAUCAUUUGGGCAGUAAUAACAUUAAUUAAGCAAAGAGCUAAUGAAUGAAAAUAAUCCUAACGAAGAAAUCAAAUAAAAAAUUAAAAAAAAAAACUAAAGAAAGGAAAAACAUUAGCAGCUCGAAACUUAAAACGACAGAUAUAUCGCAUUCAUAUGCAAGCUCAAGACAUAAUAGGUAUAAGUUAAAUUAAGAAGCAACACUUAGAGAACAAUCAGUAUCUAUAUGUUUGCCCUGUGGAAAGAGGUGCAUCCACACAUGUGAAUAAUAAGAACAAUCAAUAUCUGUAUGCUUGCACUGUGGAAAAAAGAGCAUACACAUAUGCGAAUAAUAAGAACAAUCAAUAUCGGUAUCUAUCAUUACUCACUACAGUUGGUAUUGUAUUCAUAUAAGAACAAAAAAGAUAAUCCUUAACUAAUAUAUACAGUUUAUACAUUGGAAAGAAACACGACAAGUAUAUUCAUAAAUAUUGCCAAUUAUAUUUUCACUAGAUGAAUAAUAUUUCACUUGAAUGAAAGAUAAUCCUUCAGCAAUAAUCAUUUUGUUCAUCUGUUCGCCAUUAAGAGAAAAUCUUAUUUAGCAACAACAUCGCAAAACUCUACCAAGAAACUGAAUUAAACUUCUAACUGUUUUGACUCCACUAUCAAAAUUAAAGGUGCAAGAAUUAGAUUUGGAUUCAGACCUAGGCUAUAAAAGUAUUUUCUAAUAACAUGAUUGUAAAAAGGAGAUAUUUCAACUAAAAUAAUUUACUUAAAGAACGUUGAAAUUAAUCCAAUCUACGGCUAAGAAGAAUUGGAUUCACUUGUUAUGCGACUAAGCUUCAAAUUAAUUUCUCUACAUAGUUAGAGUAAGGUUAUAGCUUUGGAAGUAUACUUAAAAUAUUUUUUGGCUAAAUAUUAGACUAAAAUUGUAUGCGAGAAUCAACAUCAAAAGAAACAAAGCAUCGAUAAGAUCUAAACUCGGUGAUAAAGAAAAGGAAGACUACCAAGAACGAAGCUAAGUCAUUUAUACGAAUCCCUUAGUUUAAUCACGAAGGUUGUGAAAAUAGCUAGCUGGGUCACGCUCAAGUCAUCCCUGUAAAUGUAAUCACCUCUUGGAGCUUUCAUCAUUUUUGAGUUGCACCAUUCAUUUGAGCCACAAUAAAUGAAGCAAAAAUGGUUUAAGUAGAAUAAUUGUCAGAGUUAGGGUUAUUCGACAAUGGAGAUUUUUAAUUGUGCCCUAGGAGAUAUGAUAAUCUGAUGUACUACUCAAAUGCUUAUUAACUACCGAAAGGAAAACACAAAAAAAGGAUGAAAUUUAGUAGAGUAGUAAAGAGAUACAAACACAUACAAAGACCCAUUUCAAUAUAGCACAGGGAUCUGCUUCGACAAAUUUCUCUGCGACACCCAUUCUUUCCAUCAGCUCCUUCGGCGGCUCAAUCUUUCCAUAUCGUAAAAAUAUGCCAUUGUGUGUAAGAGUUUUGGGAGCUAUAAAUUUUGGGAGGUUUCCACGAAAUUAAAGCAAGGAAUUGAAGAAAUUGAAACACUAAUGAAAAAUGAAAGGGAGAUGAAAAU